UGGGGAAUAUUGGACAAUGGAGGAAACUCUGAUCCAGCAAUUCUGUGUGUGUGAAGAAGGUUUUAGGACUGUAAAACACUUUUAGUAGGGAAGAAAAAAAUGACGGUACCUACAGAAGAAGCAACGGCUAAAUACGUGCCAGCAGCCGCGGUAAUACGUAUGUUGCGAGCGUUAUCCGGAAUUAUUGGGCUUAAAGGGCAUCUAGGCGGUAAGACAAGUUGAAGGUGAAAACCUGUGGCUCAACCAUAGGCUUGCCUACAAAACUGUUGAACUAGAGUACUGGAAAGGUGGGUGGAACUACACGAGUAGAGGUGAAAUUCGUAGAUAUGUGUAGGAAUGCCAAUGAUGAAGAUGACUCACUGGACAGAAACUAACGCUGAAGUGCGAAAACUAGGGGAGCAAACAGG
This 407-nucleotide ribosomal RNA is filed under the name Verrucomicrobiota bacterium. RNAcentral's name for it is "Verrucomicrobia bacterium partial 16S ribosomal RNA". It matches the Rfam family "Bacterial small subunit ribosomal RNA", at positions 355 to 776 of the family's 1533-position model. The record is from RNAcentral. Lineage: Bacteria; Pseudomonadati; Verrucomicrobiota.